Molecule: ribosomal RNA, 479 nt
Filed under: uncultured bacterium
Lineage: Bacteria
Description: partial 16S ribosomal RNA
Rfam family: Bacterial small subunit ribosomal RNA
Source: RNAcentral
GAUGAACGCUGACAGAAUGCUUAACACAUGCAAGUCUACUUGAACUUCGGUUUGGGUGCGGACGGGUGAGUAACACGUGGAUAACCUACCUAUAAGACUGGGAUAACUUCGGGAAACCGGAGCUAAUACCGGAUAAUAUAUUGAACCGCAUGGUUCAAUAGUGAAAGACGGUUUUGCUGUCACUUAUAGAUGGAUCCGCGCCGCAUUAGCUAGUUGGUAAGGUAACGGCUUACCAAGGCAACGAUGCGUAGCCGACCUGAGAGGGUGAUCGGCCACACUGGAACUGAGACACGGUCCAGACUCCUACGGGAGGCAGCAGUAGGGAAUCUUCCGCAAUGGGCGAAAGCCUGACGGAGCAACGCCGCGUGAGUGAUGAAGGUCUUCGGAUCGUAAAACUCUGUUAUUAGGGAAGAACAAAUGUGUAAGUAACUAUGCACGUCUUGACGGUACCUAAUCAGAAAGCCACGGCUAACUACGUG